UAGGGAAUCUUCGGCAAUGGACGGAAGUCUGACCGAGCAACGCCGCGUGAGUGAAGAAGGUUUUCGGAUCGUAAAGCUCUGUUGUAAGAGAAGAACGAGUGUGAGAGUGGAAAGUUCACACUGUGACGGUAACUUACCAGAAAGGGACGGCUAACUACGUGCCAGCAGCCGCGGUAAUACGUAGGUCCCGAGCGUUAUCCGGAUUUAUUGGGCGUAAAGCGAGCGCAGGCGGUUAGAUAAGUCUGAAGUUAAAGGCUGUGGCUUAACCAUAGUACGCUUUGGAAACUGUUUAACUUGAGUGCAGAAGGGGAGAGUGGAAUUCCAUGUGUAGCGGUGAAAUGCGUAGAUAUAUGGAGGAACACCGGUGGCGAAAGCGGCUCUCUGGUCUGUAACUGACGCUGAGGCUCGAAAAGCGUGGGGAGCAAACAGGAUUAGAUACCCUGGUAGUCCACGCCGUAAACGAUGAGUGCUAGGUGUUGGGGUCCUUUCCGGGACUCAGUGCCGCAGCUAACGCAUUAAGCACUCCGCCUGGGGAGUACGACCGCAAGGUUG
Molecule: ribosomal RNA, 552 nt
Filed under: uncultured bacterium
Lineage: Bacteria
Description: bacterial SSU rRNA
Rfam family: Bacterial small subunit ribosomal RNA
Source: RNAcentral